Molecule: long non-coding RNA, 1749 nt
Filed under: Equus asinus (donkey)
Lineage: Eukaryota; Metazoa; Chordata; Mammalia; Perissodactyla; Equidae
Description: lncRNA (ENSEASG00005035608.1)
Source: RNAcentral
UAAAGUUUGAUACUUGUUAAAAAAAACAAAAAGUAUCAACUGGUAAUCUGAAAAAGUUAUUGAGAUAUUUUUUAAAAUAGGAAAACCUACAAACCAAGUCACCAUAUGAUAGUGCAGAAAUACAUUUAUUGAUUUAAAAACAUGAUCAAAUACUUUGGUGUGAAAAUAACACAUUAAAAAGAUUUCUUUGAUACUAAUUCAAUGUGUAUGGGUUGGUGGGAGAUAGAGGAUUACUUUCAUUUUACAAUUUUUUUUAAGAUUGACCCUGAGCUAACAUCUAUUGCCAAUCUUUUUUUUUUUCUUCUCCCCAAAGCCCCCCAGUACAUAGUUGUAUAUUCUAGUUGUAGGUCCUUCUAGUUGUGCUAUGUGCGACACCGCCUCAGCGUGGCCUGAUGAGUGGUGCCAUGUCAGCGCCCAGGACCCGAACCGGCGAAACCCUGGGCCACGGAAGUGGAGCAUACAAACUCAACCACUCGGCCAGCCCCUCAUUUUACAAAUCUGCAUUUCCAUAGUGUUUUAAAUAUAGAACGUUUAUUGUAUAAAAUGUUGAAAACAUAAAAUAAUUAUGAGUUGAUUACAAAUAUGAUGCUUAUAUAUUCAUUGCUUUGGAAAAAUGUUCACAGUUUACUGUUUUAUAAAAGUAAAAGCAGCAGAUCAAAACAAGUUAUUUGACACUGCUUCUGUGUGUGCAUGUUUCCAUGUCUCAAACUUCUUUAUACCAAUUAUUCAUAUACUAACUUGUGCAGCUUUCUAUUUAGUUCACAUGGGGCUGGACUUCUAGCCUCAGGGCUUGAAAAUACCAGGAUGGGCACAAAUACAGAAGGAUCACCACCAGUGUGUGGAAAAUUCCAGAAAGCUUUGGCCCAUACAAUGGAAUUCACGCACAUCCCUCACUCCCCGCUAUUACCUCACCCUUUGCCAAUCCCCCUAGUUGACUUUCACACCUGGGAUUCUGAUGCAGAUGACCAGGUGGCAUCUUUCUCCAUUUUCUACAGGUUAUUUUUUCCCCAAGAAAAAGUAUAAUUUUUAGAACUAAAAACAACGUAUUCUCUUAAAAGUAGGUAACUAAAUAAUAAAUUCAUAUGUAUAUAACAGACUGAGAGGACAUAUACUUAGUUUUAUUUCCUGCUUAUUCCUGCCUCUACAUCUCCUUUAUUUAUUAACGUGUAUUGAGUGUUUACUGUGUGCCAGGCACUGUCCAUCUAAUUCUACAUCUGCAUCCCACAUCUUCCCUCUCUUGAUUUCUAGAACGGCAUAAGUAGAAAUGUCCACAGGGAGCGAGACAGAUGUCAGCACCCACCCGAAAGAGACUCCAUUCCAAGUAAGUACAGACCAACCUUCAUCUUGAGUCCUGGAAACCCAGUAUCUAAACGGGAAAUGAUGGGGUUGAGUGGGGAAAGUCUUCCACCUCGGGAAACUGAGGCAUCUUAUAACCCAAACUUCUAUACUUUUGCAUAGUGCUAAUGGGCUACUACCUUCUGACAGGAUCUCACUCCCGGAUAGAGAGUGAAGGAUGCAGUAACCCUUGUGUGAUUUCAGUCUUGGUUCUUCUCACAGGCAUGAACUAGGGUUUUACUUUCUCUUUAAUCCUUGGUUAGGUCUCAUGGUAGAUUUUGGAAUUGGUUUUGUGUCUGUCUUAUCCCUAGGAGGGUGGUACCUCCCAUUUAGUCCUCUGCGGGAUUCAUCUGAGGUGACGUGGAGUUUCUGCUUCAUAUAAGAUCUUCUCUACCAGUAAGCAGGCCUGGACCC